Long non-coding RNA from Aphis gossypii (cotton aphid), 407 nucleotides. RefSeq lists it as uncharacterized. The transcript has 3 exons. NCBI's taxonomy places the organism in Eukaryota, Metazoa, Arthropoda, Insecta, Hemiptera, Aphididae. The record is from RefSeq and is a predicted model, not a curated record.
UUGAAUCCUUGGAUACGUAUACUGAUAUAUUAAUAAUUAGCAUAUUAUAUACUUACUAUUUCAAAUUUUAAUAAUUAAAGCUAGUAAAUUCGAAACAAUGUUCCUCAUAAGUUUUUUGUACAGCAAUUAAAAAGCAUCGAAGAAACUUAGACACGAAAAAAAUUUGAUAUUUAAACGAAAAAUAGCACAUGACUUUGAAACAAAACAUCCAUACGAAUUAAAUAUAAAACAUAAUUCGGAUCCCGGACGCGCUUAUACACUCGAAGGCCAAACAAUUUUUAGUUCAAUGAUUGUUAUACAUGACGUCACGGGAGUGGUAGCGGAUUGAAUCAGUUGGUAUAAAAACCUCCCCGAUGAAAAUUUUUUAUAUCUAAUAUACGAGAUAAUUUGACGCAUAUACAUAUCGG